UGAUGAAUGGGCCAAUUUUUGGAUGCUGCAGUGGAAAGAAUGGCCCUGACAGUCACCAUCUUCACAACAGGGGAAAAGAUCCAUCUGCAACCAAUGGGCUUCUUCCCUGCAGCUUCAGCAUAGCUGGAAGGUUCUAUCACAGAGGAAGCUGCUGCAAUAAAAUGUUGAUGAGAAGGUGAGAGGUGAGAGUAGCUUACAUAGUUGGACAGAGGAUAUUGGACAUCCUGAUUAACAUUCAAGGAGACAAAAUCCUUCAUCCAUGUGGGAGGAUGUUUAGACCUGGCAGAUUUUCUAGUGAGAGGAGGAUCAGGCAUAUC
Molecule: long non-coding RNA, 317 nt
Organism: Solanum dulcamara
Lineage: Eukaryota; Viridiplantae; Streptophyta; Magnoliopsida; Solanales; Solanaceae
Exons: 3
Source: RefSeq, a predicted model, not a curated record